RNAcentral lists this transfer RNA (72 nucleotides) under Pestalotiopsis fici W106-1. RNAcentral describes it as "tRNA-Arg (TCT) (tRNA-Arg-TCT-1-1, tRNA-Arg-TCT-1-2)". It matches the Rfam family "tRNA". From Rfam's summary of the family: Transfer RNA (tRNA) molecules are approximately 80 nucleotides in length. Their secondary structure includes four short double-helical elements and three loops (D, anti-codon, and T loops). Further hydrogen bonds mediate the characteristic L-shaped molecular structure. tRNAs have two regions of fundamental functional importance: the anti-codon, which is responsible for specific mRNA codon recognition, and the 3' end, to which the tRNAs corresponding amino acid is attached (by aminoacyl-tRNA synthetases). tRNAs cope with the degeneracy of the genetic code in two manners: having more than one tRNA (with a specific anti-codon) for a particular amino acid; and 'wobble' base-pairing, i.e. permitting non-standard base-pairing at the 3rd anti-codon position. The record is from RNAcentral. Lineage: Eukaryota; Fungi; Ascomycota; Sordariomycetes; Amphisphaeriales; Sporocadaceae.
GCCCCGCUGGCUCAAUGGUAGAGCAUUAGACUUCUAAUCUAAAGGUUGCGGGUUCGACCCCCGCGUGGGGUU